RNAcentral lists this ribosomal RNA (273 nucleotides) under uncultured bacterium. RNAcentral's name for it is "partial 16S ribosomal RNA". It matches the Rfam family "Bacterial small subunit ribosomal RNA", at positions 524 to 796 of the family's 1533-position model. The record is from RNAcentral.
UACGGAGGGGGCGAGCGUUAUUCGGAAUUAUUGGGCGUAAAGGGCGCGUAGGCGGCUUGAUAAGUCAAAGGUGAAAUCCCUCGGCUCAACUGAGGAACUGCCUUUGAAACUGUCUGGCUUGAGGCCGGGAGGGGGUAGCGGAAUUCCCAGUGUAGCGGUGAAAUGCGUAGAUACUGGGAGGAACACCGGUGGCGAAGGCGGCUACCUGGACCGGUUCUGACGCUGAGGCGCGAAAGCGUGGGUAGCAAACAGGAUUAGAAACCCCAGUAGUCC